CCGCUCGUUUUUUGUCCUGAACCUAAUUUGGUUGAGAUUAUAUGAGGAAGAUAUACAGCCAAGCUAGGAUCAUUAGGCGCGCCGGUUAUCGCGGUACCAAGUUGUGAAGCUGUUGGUGUGAAUAUCAAUAGUCAGGUGGGAAUGAAGGGCGCUGUUUCGGUCAGAACUAUCUUGGCAGCCCUUCGAAGCCACCGACCAGAUGCAGAUGUAAAUAAAACUUCACAUUUUCUUAUAGAAAAUAUCAACCCGAAUUCGAGAUUGUUGGUUGUAACUUUUCUUUUAUAGGAAAAUGCUACAAUCGCUGAGCUGCUAAAACUAAUUGCUAGAUAACUGAUUUACGAGGUAAUAUGGUAAAGGAGGUAAGUUUUCCCUCUUUUGCCCCCAUUAAGUCUUUCCUUAGCUGUAAUGUCAUUUUGAAAAUUCUGAGGGAAAAGAUAAUUUUGCUCUUCCGUAGGAACUUACUCCCUCUCGGCAAUUAACUAAUGUCAUUUAGGACAGUUUUUUAGUAGACUUGCCCACAUGUAAUUAUGUGCUUGAAGGCUUAAAUUUCAGCUUUUAAAUCUUGACAGAUUCCCAUACUCUACCUGGACUUGAGAAGGACCUAUCCACGCUAUGAGAUGGCUGAUGAGGGUUCUGGAUGUGUUGCAAAUGUAUGGCUCGGUAUAUAGUUCGUUCAGCCGGCUCAGAUGUGCCCCUAAUGAGCUUGGAACCAUCAGAGUAAUCUGUGUUUGUUCGUGAGUUUGUAAUAAGCUUAGCAACAUUCAGUGUACCAGUAGCAUGUACCAUUGACUCUGCUGCGCAGUGUCUGUGCAGGUAUUAGACAUACGGAGAUGGACUUUAUAGACCCAAAAAAAAUCGUAUUGUCAAUUUUUCAGAGGAAAGUGUUACCGAGUUAUUUUGAGAGUUAUAUGGUUUGGUUUGUUGGACUAGCCAAGUCUUUCAUAACAUUCUAUCCAGGCUAGCCUAAGGCAGGUUUUUGCAAUGCAAUGCUCAAAAAUGGCUCUGUGUUUGGUUGGAUAGAUAAACAAUUUUUGACUAAUGCAAGCUUGUGUUUGGUUGGCC
This 1062-nucleotide long non-coding RNA is filed under the name Panicum hallii. RNAcentral's name for it is "long non-coding RNA (PHAL_LNC000192)". The record is from RNAcentral. Lineage: Eukaryota; Viridiplantae; Streptophyta; Magnoliopsida; Poales; Poaceae.